UACAGAGGGGGCAAGCGUUAUUCGGAAUUAUUGGGCGUAAAGGGCGCGUAGGCGGUCGUGCAAGUGGAAGGUGAAAUCCCUCGGCUCAACCGAGGAACUGCCUUUCAAACUGCAUGACUUGAGUCCGGGAGAGGUGAGUGGAAUUCCCAGUGUAGCGGUGAAAUGCGUAGAUAUCGGAAGGAACACCUGUGGCGAAAGCGGCUCACUGGACCAUUACUGACACUGAGGCACGAAAGCUAGGGGAGCAAACAGG
RNAcentral lists this ribosomal RNA (253 nucleotides) under uncultured bacterium. RNAcentral describes it as "partial 16S ribosomal RNA". It matches the Rfam family "Bacterial small subunit ribosomal RNA", at positions 524 to 776 of the family's 1533-position model. The record is from RNAcentral.